This 425-nucleotide unclassified non-coding RNA is filed under the name fungal sp. RNAcentral describes it as "partial internal transcribed spacer region". The stretch from base 1 to 46 matches the Rfam family "Eukaryotic small subunit ribosomal RNA", at positions 1786 to 1831 of the family's 1831-position model. The record is from RNAcentral. Lineage: Eukaryota; Fungi.
AAGUCGUAACAAGGUUUCCGUAGGUGAACCUGCGGAAGGACCAUUAACACGUAUCCAACGUUAAACAACUCUGUGAACCUUCACCCCCUGCUCUCCUUGGCUCGAGAAAGCAAUCUCUGGUAAAUCACGCAAACAGUUUGAUUCAGAGACCUCUAUCUUGAGUACUUGGAUUUGAUGCGGUCGAAGCAAUUAGACUUGCCUCUGUGGGGUAGUCAGUGGGUGAAAGUGCCACUGGUUACUUAAGCGGAGUACUGCACCCGGACUAACCGGGGUGGGAUCAUCGAGUGUCCUCACGGCCGAUGAACAAGUCUCUGAGCGCAAGCUCCAAUAUUAACCCCGUCUUUAAUCUUUAGGGAGCUGGUCGCUUCGGCGCCGCCCCUGUCGUGAAAGCUGAACAACUGUUAACAAUGGAUAUCUUGGUUCUC